UUGACCUCGAAUCAGGUAGGGAUACCCGCUGAACUUAAGCAUAUCAAUAAGCGGAGGAAAAGAAACCAACAGGGAUUGCCUCAGUAACGGCGAGUGAAGCGGCAACAGCUCAAAUUUGAAAUCUGGCUCCCUCUGGGCGUCCGAGUUGUAAUUUGAAGAGGGUGCUUUGGCGUCGGCGGCGGUCUAAGUCCCUUGGAACAGGGCAUCGCAGAGGGUGACAAUCCCGUAUGUGGCCGCAAGCCUUCGCCGUGUAAAGCCCCUUCGACGAGUCGAGUUGUUUGGGAAUGCAGCUCUAAAUGGGAGGUAAAUAUCUUCUAAAGCUAAAUACCGGCCAGAGACCGAUAGCGCACAAGUAGAGUGAUCGAAAGAUGAAAAGCACUUUGGAAAGAGAGUCAAACAGCACGUGAAAUUGUUGAAAGGGAAGCGCUUGCAGCCAGACUUGCCCGCAGUUGCUCAUCCAGGCUCUCGCCUGGUGCACUCUUCUGCGGGCAGGCCAGCAUCAGUUUGGGCAGCCGGAUAAAGACCUCUGUCACGUAUCUGCCUUCGGGCAGACCUUAUAGGGGAGGUGCAAUGCGGCUAGCCCGGACUGAGGUCCGCGCAUCUGCUAGGAUGCUGGCGUAAUGGCUGUAAGCGGCCCGUCUUGAAACACGGACCAAGGAGUCUAACAUCUAUGCGAGUGUUUGGGUGUCAAGCCCGGGCGCGCAAUGAAAGUGAACGGAGGUGGGAACCCUCUCGGGGGUGCACCAUCGACCGAUCCUGAUGUCUUCGGAUGGAUUUGAGUAAGAGCAUAGCUGUUGGGACCCGAAAGAUGGUGAACUAUGCUUGAAUAGGGUGAAGCCAGAGGAAACUCUGGUGGAGGCUCGCAGCGGUUCUGACGUGCAAAUCGAUCGUCAAAUUUGGGCAUAGGGGCGAAAGACUAAUCGAACUAUCUAGUAGCUGUUCCUGCCGAAGUUUCCCUCAGGAUAGCAGUAACGUUUUCAGUUUUAUGAGGUAAAGCGAAUGAUUAGAGGCCUGGGGGUUGAAACAACCUUCACCUAUUCUCAAACUUUAAAUAUGUAAGAAGUCCUUGUUACUUGAUUGAACGUGGACAUUUGAAUGUACCGUUACUAGUGGGCCAUUUUUGGUAAGCAGAACUGGCGAUGCGGGAUGAACCGAACGCGGGGUUAAGGUGCCAGAAUGCACGCUCAUCAGACACCACAAAAGGUGUUAGUUCAUCUAGACAGCAGGACGGUGGCCAUGGAAGUCGGAAUCCGCUAAGGAGUGUGUAACAACUCACCUGCCGAAUGAACUAGCCCUGAAAAUGGAUGGCGCUCAAGCGUGCUACCCAUACCCCGCCGCCGGGGCAGACAUUACGCCCCGGCGAGUAGGCAGGCGUGGAGGUCCGUGACGAAGCCCUGCGCGUGAGCGCGGGUCG
This 1414-nucleotide ribosomal RNA is filed under the name Helicoma isiola. RNAcentral describes it as "eukaryotic LSU rRNA". It matches the Rfam family "Eukaryotic large subunit ribosomal RNA", at positions 1 to 1430 of the family's 3401-position model. The record is from RNAcentral. Lineage: Eukaryota; Fungi; Ascomycota; Dothideomycetes; Tubeufiales; Tubeufiaceae.